UGACAUGGCCGCGGCGUGGAUCCGUGAACCCACGUGUUUACUCGUGUGUACGUGCGAGCUGUCAUCCUACGUCGGCUGUUCCCUUUUCAGAGAUCAAUUGAUAAAAACGUAGGAUAAUACGGGACAGCGAGUGAGUCGAAAGAAGUGCAAGUGAACCACGUGAAACUCAUCAAUGGAAGACGAGAGCGAUACUUCGGACGAGAGCUUGGACGCGGGAAGUGACAAGUUCGACCCGUUGAAAGCAUUAUAUUCCUCCAAGAUGCGACUGGUGUCCUCGGCCCCGACCUACGACAACAUUUCGAAAUUCGAGGCCGUGUUGAAGGGCAUCGACGUGACGAGAAAAAGUAGCAAAUCGAUUGUGCCAGGACCCUCAAGGCAGAGAUUUUUACCUCAUCAAGAACCAGUGCCCGCUAAAAGACGUGAACCGAAGAAUGUACUCUCAAAAAUGCAAAAGACCCACGGUCCGUUAGGAAUGCUUUACGGAUGCAUGGAAAAGAGAAUCAAGAUUAGGGUCUACACCAGGAACGCGCGCGGCAUAAGGGGACACGUGGAGGCAUACGUGGCUGCCUUCGACAAGCACUGGAACCUCGCGCUGGAGGACUGCUUCGAGGUCUGGUCCCGCAAAGUCAAGAGGAAAGCACCCGCUCUCGGCGCUGAUGCAGUCAAGGUGGAAGAGGCAGAAAGCGGAACCCCUAAGACGAUGGUGAGAAGAAAGGAGCGAAAGACGGAGACCUUGGAGAGACACGUGCCGCAGAUGCUGCUGAGGGGAGAACAAGUCGCUAUAAUCGUCAAAAUCAAUUGACUAUCGCCUUAAGGGCCGUUCAUCCGGCACGUGCAUCCAAUUGCGUAUACACAGCCGAUCCAACAACCGUUUUCCCGUCAUCUAUCAUCCGUUAUUUAUUCCUUUUGACGAAAUAGCUUACAAAAGGAGGAGGAAAUCAAAUCCCUGGAGGACGUCAAGGCUGGACUUUCUCGCGACGCGGAUGUAAUAAGGACUCCUAGGAGAGUCUGGAAAAGGAGGAAUAAAAAAACGUCGAGAUGAAAAAAAGAAGAAAGAGGAGGAAGAGUCCGUCUAUAUAACCGAGAGACACGGCCUUCGGGCGCGCGCGUGUCGGAUACGUAUACAGAAGCAGUUAUACGGUAAGCGGCUUCGGAGUAGGAGCCGAUAGAAUCCGCUCUAAUCCGCGCGAGCAUCGAACGAGGAAGUCGAAGGCGGCGGCGGCGAAGAAAGUUAAUUCGCGAUUGUCCGGCGUCGCGCCGUUCCACCGUGACUAACUCACGCACCGCGACGAGGGACUGGUUUUUCCCUUCUGAAUUAGACUUUAAAAGGACAAAACUUCUAAAAAAUUAUAAUCAAGCUGAAUUGUUGCGGAGACCUUUAUUUCGAUGCUCUAAUGAAAUCCUGAAAAGUACCCUUUUCAUUUCAGCCAAGGCGUUUUUUAUGGGAGGGUAAAUUUUGCCAUUAUCUCG
RNA transcript from Nylanderia fulva, 1470 nucleotides. Lineage: Eukaryota; Metazoa; Arthropoda; Insecta; Hymenoptera; Formicidae. The record is from RefSeq and is a predicted model, not a curated record.